GGGUCCUGCUUCCGCUAGCGGUGGUUCCGGAGGGCAGGGGUGUGACCACCGAGAAGGUUUUAAAAGUGAAAUCAGAGGCAGGCACUCCGAGGUUCCGAACCCCAGAAUCCUUACGGUGGCUUCAGCCUCUGCCUGCCCUCCAGGCUAGUUUGCUCAGGCUGGCCCUCCCGCGCCCGGCCUCCUGCCUCCCUGUCCUGGGACCAGGUUUCUCUGUGCUCUGUUGCCAUUGGGAGCAGAGAGUUCUUUGUGGCGUGCGUUCUGUGCAUUGUAGGAUGGGUAACGGCAUCCCUUGCCUCUACUGCACUAGAUGCCCGUGCCACCCCGCUCCCCAGUUGUGAUAACCAAAUCUGUCUCCAGACGUUCCCAAAUGACCUGCGGUGGAGCAAAGUCGCCUGCAUUGAGAACCACCGCCUGAGAACAAGUUCAGAGCCUUGUUUCCUUGUCGCGUGGCUGGCCUCCUGUUUUCCUUCAGCCCUCAACUGGAGUGGUGACUCCUUCUUGUACGUGGUCCCCACGAUGAUGAGCUCCAUGGUGGCAGGGUUCUUGGGUCUCUUGUUCCUCACCAUGCCCUCCAGCACCUACACCAGGGUGGGACAUUACACCGGAGUGGAGCGGAAGAGUGUUCUCCAGAAACGGCCUCCAGCAUGGCUUCAGAAAUUGGGACCCAGGGCUGUCAUAAUUCGGUUCAUGUGAGACCAUUUCUUCUUCUUCCGCCACCCUUAACUCCAGCUAACAUCAGGAUGGAGCAAUUACCUAGGAAGUGGGCUUGCUGGUAGGUCAUCUGGAUGGUACCGGAAGAAUGUCUUAUGUUCACCUAAUUUUUUUUGAGACUCUCGUGAUGUCCUACAGCAUGUAUUAGUAUCCUACUUUCGCUAGUGGAAAAAGCAAACGCCUCAAGAUUCUGGUCUAGGAUCACACAUCUCGUAGGCAUUAGAAUUCAGACUUGAGUAAAAGGCUCAAAACUAAUUCCUAGUCCAGUGCUUCUUCUACACCCCAGCUGGUACAUAAGUCCAAAACUAUGAGUGUCUGUUUUAAGACUGACGGCAUGAUACGCUCAGGCAAAGAGCAGAGUAACAUUAAACAUGGCAUGAAAAUAAAGCCAUUCAACUUGAACCAUGUGGUGACUUAGUGGUGAAGCUCUGCCCAGAACAGAUGUGCCAUUUUGGAUGACAGCAAGCUAACCCAGUUGGGUUGUCUUGUUUAAGAAGGAUAAAGCCAGGUGAAAGGGGGUUGGAGGUGGCAGUUAACAGAGCUUAGGAUGUGCACCCAGGACUCGUGAGCACUGGCUGCUGGUCCACGGGAGGACUGCUGUGCACCCCAAUCUGUGUACCCAGAGGCUGCAAAACAAAUCCAGCGGGCAGAAAUGUUUUCAUUUGGUUGCGAUGUUUAAAAGAAGUGAACCAAGAGCAUAUAAUUCAAGAUUCCAUUUCUAGGAAAUGUCCAGAGUAGGCAACUCUAUAGGGACAGAACGCAGACUGGGCGUGAUUGCCAGUGUUGGGGCAAAGGGAAGAUUGGGGAGUGACCGCUAAAAGGUGUGGCCUUUCUUUUUGUAGUAAUGAAAUGUUCUGAAGUCACGGUGAUAGUUGCACAACUCUGUGAAUAUACUAAAAACCACUGAAUUGUACUCUUUAAAUGGAUGAACUGUAUGGUAUGUGAAUUACAUUUCAAUAAUGCUGUUACCAAAAAAAAAAAAAAAAGUGAGCCAACAGUUAAACAUUGGGAGGUUUCACAUAUAAAUUUGGAUGCCCUGCUGCUCUUGAAAAAACAGACAGGAGCCCUGGCCACACUGGGACGUGUGGCUGCCUGUGACACUAGUGACCACCUCCCGCCCCUGCUUGAACCACGCCUCUGGUGUUUGUGC
This is a long non-coding RNA of Physeter macrocephalus (sperm whale), 1861 nucleotides long. RefSeq lists it as uncharacterized. The record is from RefSeq and is a predicted model, not a curated record. NCBI's taxonomy places the organism in Eukaryota, Metazoa, Chordata, Mammalia, Artiodactyla, Physeteridae. The transcript is spliced from 3 exons.